AUUAUCGCGAGGUAUUGUCUGAAGGAGAUGCGGUAAAUUGAGAGACCCGUAGACGAAAAGAUAGACCCUAAUGCAAGAAGUGUGAAGCACGGCGGCGGAGUAAGUUGGCGACUUUUCGAAAAGUGAGGAAGCCCACUAAAAUGGCAUUUUCUUUAGAAGUCAGAACGAGGAAAUGUGACUUAUAACGUGAUGGUGCAGGGUAUGUCUUGAAGGAAAAUGCG
Molecule: non-coding RNA, 221 nt
Organism: Bacillus sp. FJAT-25509
Lineage: Bacteria; Bacillati; Bacillota; Bacilli; Caryophanales; Bacillaceae
Source: Rfam